RNAcentral lists this transfer RNA (57 nucleotides) under Marmota marmota marmota (Alpine marmot). It matches the Rfam family "tRNA", at positions 8 to 63 of the family's 71-position model. Rfam says of the family: Transfer RNA (tRNA) molecules are approximately 80 nucleotides in length. Their secondary structure includes four short double-helical elements and three loops (D, anti-codon, and T loops). RNAcentral also lists the same sequence under 4 other names. The record is from Rfam by way of RNAcentral. Lineage: Eukaryota; Metazoa; Chordata; Mammalia; Rodentia; Sciuridae.
UAGCUCAGUGGUAGAGUGCUUGCCUAAUAUGCAGGAAGUCCUGGGGUUUAUUCCCAG